RNAcentral lists this ribosomal RNA (669 nucleotides) under Triticum aestivum (bread wheat). RNAcentral describes it as "partial small subunit ribosomal RNA". Lineage: Eukaryota; Viridiplantae; Streptophyta; Magnoliopsida; Poales; Poaceae. The record is from RNAcentral.
AUGGAGGCUAAUGUUGGACCGGUGGUGCGCCGGCUCUACCUCUUUGUCUAUAAUUGGGCUGCGUUCUUUGGAUGGGCACAGGUGUUGUGCUACGCAACAUUGGCAUUGUUGGAGAGGAGGCCUGAGGCUAUCUACACCGCGAUCGAGCGGCCGCUACUGGUCACACAGACUGCCGCUUUAAUGGAGAUUGUUCAUUCACUUGUAGGGCUUGUGAAGUCUCCUGUCUCCGCAACAAUUCUACAACUUAUUGGAAGGAUAUUUGUUGCAUGGGGUGUCUUGUGGAGCUUUCCCGAGACGCGCCCUCAUAUUCUUGUUACUUCCUUGAUCCUAGCAUGGUCCAUUGCUGAGGUCAUCAGAUAUCCUUACUAUGGUAUGAAGGAGACAUUUGGAUUUGCACAUUUCUGGCUAUUAUGGCUUAGGUAUAACAUGUUCAUCGUACUCUAUCCUAUCGGUAUGCUAAGUGAAGUUGGCCUCAUAUACGUCACAAUGCCUUACAUGAAGGCCUCCAAUAAAUAUUGCCUUCAAAUGCCCAAUAAAUGGAAUUUCUCCUUCAACUACCACUAUGCAUCUGUUCUUCUAAUGGGUAUCUAUUUUCCAGGAUUUCCACACUUGUACCGUUAUAUGCUCCUUAGGAGGAAGGUGGUCUUGUCAAAGGCAAAAUCCGCAUGA